This 449-nucleotide ribosomal RNA is filed under the name uncultured bacterium. RNAcentral's name for it is "partial 16S ribosomal RNA". It matches the Rfam family "Bacterial small subunit ribosomal RNA", at positions 29 to 523 of the family's 1533-position model. The record is from RNAcentral.
AAUGAACGCUGGCGGCAGGCCUAACACAUGCAAGUCGAACGGAUCCUUCGGGAUUAGUGGCGGACGGGUGAGUAACGCGUGGGAACAUACCCUUUGGUACGGAAUAGCCUCGGGAAACUGGGAGUAAUACCGUAUGUGGUCGAGAGACGAAAGAUUUAUCGCCAAAGGAUUGGCCCGCGUUGGAUUAGUUAGUUGGUGGGGUAAUGGCCUACCAAGCCGACGAUCCAUAGCUGGUUUGAGAGGAUGAUCAGCCACACUGGGACUGAGACACGGCCCAGAUUCCUACGUGAGGAAGCAGUGGGGAAUCUUAGACAAUGGGGGAAACCCUGAUCUAGCCAUGCCGCGUGAUCGAUGAAGGCCUUAGGGUUGUAAAGAUCUUUCAGGUGGGAAGAUAAUGACUGUACCACCAGAAGAAGCCCCGGCUAACUCCGUGCCAGCCGCCGCCGUAA